CUAUACAUGACUCUGCGCAUAUCAAUAAGCGGAGGAAAAGAAUCUAACAAGGAUUCCCCUAGUAACGGCGAGUGAAGCGGGAAGAGCUCAAAUUUGAAAUCUUAAAGGGUUUCCCUUUACGAAUUGUAGUUUAAAGAAGUGUUUUCUGUUGAGGUUUUGGUAAAAGUUCUUUGGAAUAGGACAUCAUAGAGGGUGAGAAUCCCGUAUUUGACCUUUACUUUCAACUUUGUGAUACACUUUCAAAGAGUCGGAUUGUUUGGGAAUGCAGUCCAAAAUGGGUGGUAAAUUUCAUCUAAAGCUAAAUAUUGGCGAGAGACCGAUAGCGAACAAGUACCGUGAGGGAAAGAUGAAAAGAACUUUGAAAAGAGAGUUAAACAGUACGUGAAAUUGUCAAAAGGGAAGCGUUUGACACCAGUGUUGUUUUUCUGAAAAUCAAUUAAAGAACUGUUUAUGCUAAGUUGUUUAGACUUUAUCAGCUAACUGUUUAGUUUUGAGCUUUUCUUUAAUGCACUUUUCAGUUAACAAGUCAACAUCAAUUUCCUUUGCUGUAAAAAAGCUUGAGGAAGGUGGCUUGAGAUUCGUCUUAAGUGUUUAUAGCCUCUUGCCUAUGCAGUCGGAGAGAUUGAGGUCUGCAGCGUAGAUCCUUCGGGGCUAAAUGCAUUUGUGCUAAGUUAUAGCAUUUUAUAGACAACUUGUUGACUAUGAUUUGUCUUGUAGCUUACUCGCUUAUGUUAUUCUACCUACGCUUAGGAUGUUGAGCGCAUGUCUCUCUCU
RNAcentral lists this ribosomal RNA (774 nucleotides) under uncultured Neocallimastigales. RNAcentral describes it as "partial large subunit ribosomal RNA". It matches the Rfam family "Eukaryotic large subunit ribosomal RNA", at positions 22 to 616 of the family's 3401-position model. The record is from RNAcentral. Lineage: Eukaryota; Fungi; Neocallimastigomycota; Neocallimastigomycetes; Neocallimastigales.